CCUUAAUAUAUGCACCAUGAUUUACUAGGAUGAGAGAUGCUGAUGUUGGAGUGUAUUGAAUGACUAGACAGAGUGCUGAUACUGCCUGUUGGAUAUAAAUUCAUAUGCUUCACAUUUUAAACAAAUAAAGGGCUGCUUUUUUGAGGGGGGUACUUUUAAGGGUUGUAAAUUAUAUACCAUAGUGAGUCACCUGGAUACUCUUCCUACGAAAUGGCUUUAGGGCUGGGGAUGUAAUAAGUUUGCAAAACAAAUGCUUUUACUAUUGUAAUAUUUGGGGGCUUAUUUUAAGAAGUCAGAUAUUUACUGUUUAUGCCUUUUUUUAUAUGGGCAGGUUAAUGCGGGAUGAAUUUAGUUACCCACCUGUGCUAUGCUGAGCAUGGAUAAAAAGUUAAGCAUAUCAUUUUGAGUUUUAUUUUUUUCAUAGUACAGCAGGCUUCCUAGUGUUGAUGUAAAUAUUUGACACAUGUUUAGUACCACCCUUAGUACAUACUGAUUUUUUUUUUGCAUAUCCUUAUAAUACUUCAGUUUUUUAAGACCUUUGGUUGCUUUUUCAGAGUUCAGAUAUAAAAAUGGUGCUAACCGUAGGAUCUAUAACAAGGCUAUAAUAAUGUUCUUUUGGAUGUUCAGUAUGAGAUAUGCAUGACAUGUUUUGAUAGUAUUUUUUCGUUUUUACUGGCUUGGUUCAUUUAUGCUUAUUAAAAAUGUUAGCGAUUAUGCUAAUGUUAACAUCUAAAAAUCGUCUAAAUGGCCCAUGUUAUGCUUUUCAUGGUUCCUGAGUAGUGAUUUAAAGAAAGAUGCACUUUUUAAUCUUUCUUCUUGUACUAGAUAGAUGUCCUUUUUAAAAACAAAUAUAUGCAUUAUAUAUAAAGCACCAGGCAGUUAUGCAUUACUUUGUACAUUUCUUAGGUAAUUGAAUAUUUUAAAGUUACUGAGGAAAACUGGAACUCAAUGUUUACUUGAGUAAUGGUUCUAAAUUUGGUUCUAUUUUGACUGAAGAAACGAGCAAGACUGUUUGCUAUAGCCAGUGACAGCUUAUUUAAAAUAAGUGGUUAUUAGCUCAUUUUGUUUUAGCAUGUUUUAGUAAAUACUUGUUCGUCUUGAACAUAUUACUUUGGAUUUUAUUAGGAUGUCGGUACUUGUAUUUUGGUACUGUAGUUUUUUCUUUUCCUUGAUUUGUUUUUUAACCUGCCUAUUAUCUCUUUAUAGUCUCUGCAAAGCCAAUGUAAAUUUAUUUCCUAAGAAAAAAAUUCAUACUGCAUUCUUAAGUGCCAUAAUAUUCCAAACUACUGUUAAGAAGCCAUUUGUAAUUAUAAAACAUAGGUUCAUUCAUUAACAUAUUUGUUAUUUCUUGGAAACUGUUUAUAGCCUGGCAAUUUGCAGUUUUUCUUGUUCUUCCAUAAACUGCCAAUGUAGAUUUAAAUAUAUAGUACAAAACUAUGUAAAGUCAUCUUAAUCAUGUAAGUAGUAUGCUUUAUGACUAUUUGCACAGAUUAUAAAACCUUGCAAGUGAUUUUUAGUCUCUUCCAAUUAAGAACUCAACAGGAGCUACUAAUAAAAUUGACAGGCUGAGUAUUUUCUAUGUUGCUUGUUUGAAUAACAUGAUAUAUAGCAAUAACUUUUUAAUUGGUUUGAAUAAACCUAUUGAAUAGAAACAAGGUGCACUAUUGUGAUUGGCCUAGACUUUAUUUAAAGAAAAGCAAUUUGAAGUACAUAUUUGAAGUACAUAUUCAUUAUAUAUUUAAUUUUAAUCUUCAACUCAAUUUUUUUUGUUAAUAUCGAAUGCAUUCUAUUAGUACUUUUUAAAUCUCUCUCCCAAAGAUAAAGGAAUUUGAAAGACUAUAGAAAUUUAUUUUAAUUGUAAGCAGAUCUAUGCUAUACAUUUAAA
RNAcentral lists this long non-coding RNA (1885 nucleotides) under Canis lupus familiaris (dog). RNAcentral describes it as "lncRNA (ENSCAFG00000052571.1, ENSCAFG00805008445.1, ENSCAFG00845004131.1)". Lineage: Eukaryota; Metazoa; Chordata; Mammalia; Carnivora; Canidae. The record is from RNAcentral.